RNAcentral lists this ribosomal RNA (252 nucleotides) under uncultured bacterium. Its description in RNAcentral is "partial 16S ribosomal RNA". It matches the Rfam family "Bacterial small subunit ribosomal RNA", at positions 524 to 776 of the family's 1533-position model. The record is from RNAcentral.
UACGAAGGGGGCUAGCGUUGCUCGGAAUCACUGGGCGUAAAGCGCACGUAGGCGGCUUUCUAAGUCAGGGGUGAAAUCCUGGAGCUCAACUCCAGAACUGCCUUUGAUACUGGAGCUUGAGUCCGGGAGAGGUGAGUGGAACUCCGUAGUGUAGAGGUGGAAUUCGUAGAUAUUCGCAAGAACACCAGUGGCGAAGGCGGCUCACUGGCCCGGUACUGACGCUGAGGUGCGAAAGCGUGGGGAGCAAACAGG